Non-coding RNA from Triticum aestivum (bread wheat), 135 nucleotides. The record is from Rfam. NCBI's taxonomy places the organism in Eukaryota, Viridiplantae, Streptophyta, Magnoliopsida, Poales, Poaceae.
GUAGUAAUGCCUCCGUCCCAAAAUUCUUGUCUUACAUUUGUUUAGAUACAAAUGUAUCUAACACUAAAAUGUAACUAGAUACAUCCGUAUUUAGACAAAUUUAAGACAAGAAUUUUGGGACAGAGGGAGUACAAA